RNAcentral lists this ribosomal RNA (707 nucleotides) under Salmonella enterica subsp. enterica serovar Thompson. Its description in RNAcentral is "partial 23S ribosomal RNA". It matches the Rfam family "Bacterial large subunit ribosomal RNA", at positions 2226 to 2925 of the family's 2925-position model. Lineage: Bacteria; Pseudomonadati; Pseudomonadota; Gammaproteobacteria; Enterobacterales; Enterobacteriaceae. The record is from RNAcentral.
CGUGGACCCGUAAUCCGGGUUGCGGACAGUGUCUGGUGGGUAGUUUGACUGGGGCGGUCUCCUCCUAAAGAGUAACGGAGGAGCACGAAGGUUGGCUAAUCCUGGUCGGACAUCAGGAGGUUAGUGCAAUGGCAUAAGCCAGCUUGACUGCGAGCGUGACGGCGCGAGCAGGUGCGAAAGCAGGUCAUAGUGAUCCGGUGGUUCUGAAUGGAAGGGCCAUCGCUCAACGGAUAAAAGGUACUCCGGGGAUAACAGGCUGAUACCGCCCAAGAGUUCAUAUCGACGGCGGUGUUUGGCACCUCGAUGUCGGCUCAUCACAUCCUGGGGCUGAAGUAGGUCCCAAGGGUAUGGCUGUUCGCCAUUUAAAGUGGUACGCGAGCUGGGUUUAGAACGUCGUGAGACAGUUCGGUCCCUAUCUGCCGUGGGCGCUGGAGAACUGAGGGGGGCUGCUCCUAGUACGAGAGGACCGGAGUGGACGCAUCACUGGUGUUCGGGUUGUCAUGCCAAUGGCACUGCCCGGUAGCUAAAUGCGGAAGAGAUAAGUGCUGAAAGCAUCUAAGCACGAAACUUGCCCCGAGAUGAGUUCUCCCUGAGACUUAGAGUCUCCUGAAGGAACGUUGAAGACGACGACGUUGAUAGGCCGGGUGUGUAAGCGCAGCGAUGCGUUGAGCUAACCGGUACUAAUGAACCGUGAGGCUUAACCUUAC